This 353-nucleotide ribosomal RNA is filed under the name uncultured soil bacterium. RNAcentral's name for it is "bacterial SSU rRNA". It matches the Rfam family "Bacterial small subunit ribosomal RNA", at positions 512 to 863 of the family's 1533-position model. The record is from RNAcentral.
CAGCCGCGGUAAUACGUAGGGCGCGAGCGUUGUCCGGAAUUAUUGGGCGUAAAGAGCUCGUAGGCGGCCUGUUGCGUCCGCCGUGAAAUCCCAGGGCUUAACCCUGGGCCUGCAGUGGAUACGGGCAGGCUGGAGGCAGGCAGGGGAGAACGGAAUUCCCGGUGUAGCGGUGAAAUGCGCAGAUAUCGGGAGGAACACCGGUGGCGAAGGCGGUUCUCUGGGCCUGUACUGACGCUGAGGAGCGAAAGCGUGGGGAGCGAACAGGAUUAGAUACCCUGGUAGUCCACGCCGUAAACGUUGGGCGCUAGGUGUGGGUCCCUUCCACGGGGUCUGUGCCGCAGCUAACGCAUUAA